CGUAAAGCGCAUGCAGGUGGUUUGUUAAGUCAGAUGUGAAAGACCCGGGGCGUCAACCUCGGAAUUGCAUUUGAAACUGGCAAACUAGAGUACUGUAGAGGGGGGUAGGAAUUUCAGGUGUAGCGGUGAAAUGCGUAGAGAUCUGAAGGAAUACCGGUGGCGAAGGCGGCCCCCUGGACAGAUACUGACACUCAGAUGCGAAAGCGUGGGGAGCAAACAGGAUUAGAUACCCUGGUAG
Molecule: ribosomal RNA, 238 nt
Filed under: uncultured bacterium
Lineage: Bacteria
Description: partial 16S ribosomal RNA
Rfam family: Bacterial small subunit ribosomal RNA
Source: RNAcentral